This is an RNA transcript of Capsicum annuum, 910 nucleotides long. RefSeq lists it as uncharacterized. The transcript has 2 exons. Lineage: Eukaryota; Viridiplantae; Streptophyta; Magnoliopsida; Solanales; Solanaceae. The record is from RefSeq and is a predicted model, not a curated record.
ACUUUUUGAGCCGGGUGUUUUCCAUGUAAAAAUCGUUGUGUUCUUUACUUUCUGUUUUACUGCUUCCUUAGAACACGUCAGGUAAUCCGUUCCAUCAAUAGGCAAUAGUUAAGCGAAAAUAAGAUAAUCAGUAGGCAUAAAUUCGUAAUACAAAGGUAUGUUAUUGUAGUUUUUAUCAAUAUUGAGUGUAAACCAUUCCUCACUCGUGAUUCCCGAGUAAGUUGAAACCUUAACUAUGUCGAGUGGAAAUGAGAACGAUAUCUACAUUGGCCAAUUAUGAGAAGACGAGUAGAUUUAUCCUUGCAAAUAUUUUUGUGAAUAUAAUAUAUGAAAAUGAUCAACCAUAAAUUUUUAACUAGUGCCAGCUGUUUGAUAAGGAUAUAUUAAAUAGAGACGUAUCAUGUGUCUUGAUAAGCUACAAGGACUUUUGAGUUAUCUUUACAAAGUGAGCUUGUAUUAUAAGCCAUACACUGGAAGUGUUUUUUUUGGUCAAGCUAUAAACCAAAAGCUCUCUUACCCUUGUUGAAUAAUUAUAAAAUUAGUAUUACUACUUUCUUAAAGUGCAAGGCUAGAAAAAAAGUAGAAACAUGGAUGCACCUCAAUAUCAAGAGAUGUCUUACGUUGAUCAUGUGAAACGUCGUCACGAGGAAAAAGGAUGCCUUUAUGCUUGUUUGUUCGCAGCGUGUUGCUGCUUCUGUUGCUUCGAGGCCUGCGAAUGCUGUCUGGACAUGCUCUGCUGCUGUUGAUGUCCCUCCUAGACAUGCCAAGCCAACCCUAUGUAUGUUGCUCUAUGUUAGCAGCAAAGCUGAAAUUGGAUUUGUUCCCCUGUUUUUCUACUCUUUUGUUUCUUCUGUUACCUCCCACUGUAUAUUUCAAACUGUGAAGUUGAAUAAACUUGUUAUGUAAUGAA